UACAGAAAGGGAAGUGCAGUGGAGGA
Molecule: non-coding RNA, 26 nt
Filed under: Rattus norvegicus (Norway rat)
Lineage: Eukaryota; Metazoa; Chordata; Mammalia; Rodentia; Muridae
Source: RNAcentral